GCGAAUUUUGAGAAUCCAUAUUCUAUUGCACAUCCAAUCAAUCGUCCAGCCUCAAUUCAGAAAUUGAUUCCUCAAAUAGAAUCAUAAAAGAAAACCAGGAAAAAAUAACAGAAAUACCACAAAUUAAAAGACGAUUAAUCCUGUACAACAAGCUCUCAAUCCCUCCAUCUUCGAUAAAAUGAUUAUGUAUAUAUGUAUACCCCUCGACUUCACAUAGGAUGAAUUCCUCCUUCCCUCAGUUGCAAUACAGAAUACACAUUCCUGAAAAUCAUACGGUAUAGCUGUAGCUGAGAAACGGAGGUGAAAUUCUCCCGGAAAAAAAUGGAAAUUAUCGUUCUAGCUUCCCGGAGAAUUGAAGAAAUCGAGAAAACCAAGGGAGAAAAAUGAAAA
RNAcentral lists this unclassified non-coding RNA (390 nucleotides) under Hevea brasiliensis (rubber tree). The record is from RNAcentral. Lineage: Eukaryota; Viridiplantae; Streptophyta; Magnoliopsida; Malpighiales; Euphorbiaceae.